UUAGAUAAUACUGCAGUAGACAUGGGUAUACCUAAUUUCACUAUAAUUUUUCAAUCUCAACAAAAAUGGAAAAAUAUGCUAGUAUACUAUCCUGUACUUAACAAGUUUCCGUAAUGUUAUAAUGAAAUGAAAAUAUAGAACUAGUACUACUCAGUAAACAGCUAGCUAACUCUCAGAAUAAUUGAUCCACCAUUGCAAAACGUAACUCUCCCUCUACUUUUACAAGAUUUUGCCGUUUAACACAGUAUAUUCUCAAAAAGAUACAGUAGCAAGAAAAUUAACCUGUAAAUCUAUGGACAUGUCAC
This 305-nucleotide long non-coding RNA is filed under the name Nicotiana benthamiana. Its description in RNAcentral is "long non-coding RNA (NBEN_LNC016924)". Lineage: Eukaryota; Viridiplantae; Streptophyta; Magnoliopsida; Solanales; Solanaceae. The record is from RNAcentral.